UGUCUGUGGUCUUGGAGCCGCCCUUGGUUGUUUGUACUUGGGGCUUACCAGGCUUGCAGAGAGAGCAUCUGUCUGAGGAAGCCGAGGCAUGCCUGUAAGAGUAAUAGCAGAACCAUGUGCAAUAUUCCUCUGACAGUUCUAAUUCUGUUGCCACGGAGAUAAUGACUUAUUCCAUGUCAUUAUCCAUCUACCAACAGUAAGAGUAACUUUGCAGUCUGAUAUUGUUUAGCAAAUACCAAUUUUUGCUGAACACUAAAAACUGCUAUAAAU
This is a non-coding RNA of Chelonoidis abingdonii (Abingdon island giant tortoise), 270 nucleotides long. Lineage: Eukaryota; Metazoa; Chordata; Testudines; Testudinidae. The record is from Ensembl.